AUGACGAUCAUGAGCUAGAACUAUCGAGGCCUCGGGUAACCUCGAACAGUUCAAGAGCUAGUGUGCCUAGUGCACACAUACAAGCCCAAGCCCGUCUUCCUUACUGAAACUCGCCAGAACAAUAAGUAUGUCUCAAACCUCAAGUGGAGGCUAGGUCUCCGUCACUGUAUCACGCAUCCCGGCACCGGAAAAGGUGGCGGCAUUGCCCUCUUUUAUGAUGAG
Molecule: ribosomal RNA, 222 nt
Filed under: Triticum aestivum (bread wheat)
Lineage: Eukaryota; Viridiplantae; Streptophyta; Magnoliopsida; Poales; Poaceae
Description: partial small subunit ribosomal RNA
Source: RNAcentral